GGCGAACGCUGGCGGCGUGCCUAAUACAUGCAAGUUGAGCGCUGAAGGUUGGUACUUGUACCUACUGGAUGAGCAGCGAACGGGUGAGUAACGCGUGGGGAAUCUGCCUUUGAGCGGGGGACAACAUUUGGAAACGAAUGCUAAUACCGCAUAAAAACUUUAAACACAAGUUUUAAGUUUGAAAGAUGCAAUUGCAUCACUCAAAGAUGAUCCCGCGUUGUAUUAGCUAGUUGGUGAGGUAAAGGCUCACCAAGGCGAUGAUACAUAGCCGACCUGAGAGGGUGAUCGGCCACAUUGGGACUGGGGCACGGCCCAAACUCCUACGGGAGGCAGCAGUAGGGAAUCUUCGGCAAUGGACGAAAGUCUGACCGAGCAACGCCGCGUGAGUGAAGAAGGUUUUCGGAUCGUAAAACUCUGUUGGUAGAGAAGAACGUUGGUGAGAGUGGAAAGCUCAUCAAGUGACGGUAACUACCCAGAAAGGGACGGAUAACUACGU
RNAcentral lists this ribosomal RNA (496 nucleotides) under uncultured bacterium. RNAcentral describes it as "partial 16S ribosomal RNA". It matches the Rfam family "Bacterial small subunit ribosomal RNA", at positions 28 to 506 of the family's 1533-position model. The record is from RNAcentral.